UGUUCCCAGGUUCCAGGAACUAACACCUGAAAAGCUAGGAAAGGCUGGUUUGGUAAGAGAGAAGGCAUUUGGUACCACAAAAGAUCGGAUGCUUCAUAUUGAGCUUUGUGCAAAUUCAAGGGYUGUGACUGUAUUUAUUCGUGGGGAUGAUAGCAUUCAUCCAGAGCAUCAUGAUCACGGCACCCCCAUCUCCUUCUUCCCUUCCUGUUU
Long non-coding RNA from Cynara cardunculus var. scolymus (artichoke), 210 nucleotides. RefSeq lists it as uncharacterized. The record is from RefSeq and is a predicted model, not a curated record. The transcript is spliced from 3 exons. NCBI's taxonomy places the organism in Eukaryota, Viridiplantae, Streptophyta, Magnoliopsida, Asterales, Asteraceae.